This is a non-coding RNA of Notechis scutatus (mainland tiger snake), 139 nucleotides long. The record is from RefSeq and is a predicted model, not a curated record. NCBI's taxonomy places the organism in Eukaryota, Metazoa, Chordata, Lepidosauria, Squamata, Elapidae.
CAGGGGAAAAGAGGAUCAGAGGAAGAACGGAGAAGAGAGCAACAUGGAUUGCGUGGCUUACGGGGGAGGAAAGGGCCCCGAUUCCCUUCACAAGGCACACCUGGGGAUGGAGUUUAAAGGAGAAGCAGAUGGGAGGGAU